GUGAGGAAUAUUGGUCAAUGGGCGCGAGCCUGAACCAGCCAAGUAGCGUGAGGGAUGACUGCCCUAUGGGUUGUAAACCUCUUUUGCAGGGGGGUAAAGUGGUUCACGUGUGGACCAUUGCAAGUACCCUGCGAAUAAGGAUCGGCUAACUCCGUGCCAGCAGCCGCGGUAAUACGGAGGAUCCGAGCGUUAUCCGGAUUUAUUGGGUUUAAAGGGAGCGUAGGCGGGGGUUUAAGUCAGCUGUGAAAUGCCGUGGCCCAACCAUGGAACUGCAGUUGAAACUGGACCUCUUGAGAGUACAUAAGGAAGGCGGAAUUCGUGGUGUAGCGGUGAAAUGCAUAGAUAUCACGAAGAACUCCGAUUGCGAAGGCAGCUUUCCGGGGUACAUCUGACGCUGAAGCUCGAAAGUGCGGGAAUCAAACAGGAUUAGAUACCCUUGUAGUCC
Molecule: ribosomal RNA, 445 nt
Filed under: uncultured bacterium
Lineage: Bacteria
Description: partial 16S ribosomal RNA
Rfam family: Bacterial small subunit ribosomal RNA
Source: RNAcentral